RNAcentral lists this ribosomal RNA (352 nucleotides) under Bacillus sp. HC2a. Its description in RNAcentral is "bacterial SSU rRNA". It matches the Rfam family "Bacterial small subunit ribosomal RNA", at positions 964 to 1315 of the family's 1533-position model. The record is from RNAcentral. Lineage: Bacteria; Bacillati; Bacillota; Bacilli; Caryophanales; Bacillaceae.
AAGAACCUUACCAGGUCUUGACAUCCCAAUGACCGCUCUAGAGAUAGAGUUUUCCCUUCGGGGACAUUGGUGACAGGUGGUGCAUGGUUGUCGUCAGCUCGUGUCGUGAGAUGUUGGGUUAAGUCCCGCAACGAGCGCAACCCUUGAUCUUAGUUGCCAUCAUUUAGUUGGGCACUCUAAGGUGACUGCCGGUGACAAACCGGAGGAAGGUGGGGAUGACGUCAAAUCAUCAUGCCCCUUAUGACCUGGGCUACACACGUGCUACAAUGGACGAUACAAAGAGUCGCUAACUCGCGAGGGUAUGCUAAUCUCAUAAAAUCGUUCUCAGUUCGGAUUGUAGGCUGCAACUCGC